CGGGGGGUGGGAAGCCGAUUGGGCUUAUUCCCAUUCAGAAUUUAGAGGCUGGUGGAGACAGAGAGUCUCCUAAAUGGAUGCAAGUCUCCUGAAAGUCUGGGACGGAAGCCUCGAAACUUUCUGCCACGCAAAGCCCCAGCUAGUGGCCAGGGCUCGGUCCUGGUUCUCUUUGUGCAGGCCCGGAAGUGUCCGCCCGGUUUUCCCACUGCCUGGAGGGGCCUAGGGUCGCGGAUAGACUCGGACAAGGCUCCGUUUACGUUCAGUUUGUCUUAAUUGACUAAUGACGGGACUCGUUGUAAUGCGUGCUCCGAGAUUUUCUCCAGGAUUUGUCACUUUAAUUUUGCAGUAUGAGAAAGAGAAGCUAACAAAGGAAAGCCUCUUCGAAAAAUGGGAUUUCCUUGGCCUUAGCAGUGCUGGUGUGUUCCACUACCAACACUAGACAGAAAAUGUCCAGUGUUGAUAGAAAUUACCUCUAAAGUCUUGAAUCUGGAAGAAGCUGGAGAAAUGGCUCUUGGAUUCUAAUACUGGCAUUUCUUUGGUGACUGUUUCCCAUGAAUUACCUCAACUUACACUGAAAGCCACAAGAAAGCCAAAAAAUGCAAACUGCAAGCCUGAAUAUGCCUACAAAUUACCUGUGC
RNAcentral lists this long non-coding RNA (638 nucleotides) under Cercocebus atys (sooty mangabey). Its description in RNAcentral is "lncRNA (ENSCATG00000045854.1)". Lineage: Eukaryota; Metazoa; Chordata; Mammalia; Primates; Cercopithecidae. The record is from RNAcentral.